GAAAACGAUCGCGUUGAAUGAAUUCUUGGCACUAGUUUCAUGCUCAUCAUAGUAACAAAUGCCUCGUCAACACUUAUAGUUCUCAUUGUGCUUCAUGAUUCUUGAUUGUAUCUUUAUUGUGCUCGUCACGUAAGGAACCUUUGAGGAAUGCUUUAAAUUGUUGUAUGCGCUUUUCCAUCCAAUUCAUUAACUUAAGGAGAACUUGAAGGUUAAUUUAAGCGUAU
This 224-nucleotide long non-coding RNA is filed under the name Malus domestica (apple). RNAcentral's name for it is "long non-coding RNA (MDOM_LNC004541)". Lineage: Eukaryota; Viridiplantae; Streptophyta; Magnoliopsida; Rosales; Rosaceae. The record is from RNAcentral.